RNAcentral lists this ribosomal RNA (465 nucleotides) under Vreelandella stevensii. Its description in RNAcentral is "partial 16S ribosomal RNA". It matches the Rfam family "Bacterial small subunit ribosomal RNA", at positions 338 to 795 of the family's 1533-position model. The record is from RNAcentral. Lineage: Bacteria; Pseudomonadati; Pseudomonadota; Gammaproteobacteria; Oceanospirillales; Halomonadaceae.
CCUACGGGCGGCAGCAGUGGGGAAUAUUGGACAAUGGGCGAAAGCCUGAUCCAGCCAUGCCGCGUGUGUGAAGAAGGCCUUCGGGUUGUAAAGCACUUUCAGUGGGGAAGAAAGCCUUGGGGCUAAUACCCUCGAGGAAGGACAUCACCCACAGAAGAAGCACCGGCUAACUCCGUGCCAGCAGCCGCGGUAAUACGGAGGGUGCGAGCGUUAAUCGGAAUUACUGGGCGUAAAGCGCGCGUAGGCGGUCUGAUAAGCCGGUUGUGAAAGCCCCGGGCUCAACCUGGGAACGGCAUCCGGAACUGUCAGGCUAGAGUGCAGGAGAGGAAGGUAGAAUUCCCGGUGUAGCGGUGAAAGGCGUAGAGAUCGGGAGGAAUACCAGUGGCGAAGGCGGCCUUCUGGACUGACACUGACGCUGAGGUGCGAAAGCGUGGGUAGCAAACAGGAUUAGAUACCCGAGUAGUC